Molecule: unclassified non-coding RNA, 428 nt
Filed under: uncultured Cortinarius
Lineage: Eukaryota; Fungi; Basidiomycota; Agaricomycetes; Agaricales; Cortinariaceae
Description: sequence contains ITS2
Rfam family: 5.8S ribosomal RNA (bases 1-154)
Source: RNAcentral
AACUUUGAGCAACGGAUCACUUGGCUCUCGCAUCGAUGAAGAACGCGGCGAAAUGCGUUAAGUAAUGUGAAUUGCAGAAUUCAGUGAAUCAUCGAAUCUUUGAACGCACCUUGCGCUCCUUGGUAUUCCGAGCAGCAUGCCUGUUUGAGUAUCAUUAAUAUAUCAACCUCUUCAGCUUUUUGCAUGUUGAGUGUUGGAUGUGGGGGGUAUUUUUUGCUGGCCUCUAUAAAAUCUGAGGUCAGCUCCCCUAAAAUGCAUCAGCGAAACACUUUAUUUACCGCUCAUUGGUGUGAUAACUAUCUACGCUAUUGACGGUGAACGCAUGUUUAGCUUCUAACAGUCCAUUAACUUGGACAACCUUUUAUUAAUGUGACCUCAAAUCAGGUAGGACUACCCGCUGAACUUAAGCAUAUCAAUAAGCGGAGGCU